This is a non-coding RNA of Myodes glareolus (Bank vole), 6808 nucleotides long. NCBI's taxonomy places the organism in Eukaryota, Metazoa, Chordata, Mammalia, Rodentia, Cricetidae. The record is from RefSeq and is a predicted model, not a curated record.
UGAUUUUAAUUUCUAUUUUGACUCAUUUUGUCUUGAUUUGAAACCACUAGGUCUCAGCAGGAAUUCCACCCAGAUCCUCGAUAUUCUGUACGAUAGCCCCCUCCAGUCUGAUUAUAAGACUGGAGUCUUCUUGGAGUGCACCAGCUUUUCAGGAUUUAAAUAGGUAGCUGUUCAGCCAACCAUUUUUUUUCAUUUAAAAUGCAACAAAAGCGGAAAUUGCAUGCUGAAUUGUGUCCAGAUGCUGUCUUCUUUUGGGUCUGGCCAAAUGAUGCAGUUACUCAUUUCCUGAUGUGUCAAAAACACAUUUGUAUUUGAGUCUAACUGGCAAUCUACAAUGAAGUCUACAACGGGUAUAUCGAGGCAAUUGCUUCCUAGAUCCAGCAGAUGGGGCGUGUUAAGAGUUAAUCAUUGUGUGUGCAUCCCUGCGCACAACCACACACAGUGUGUCCAAACCGGGUGCGUUAUUCUUGAGAGGCUUGUUACACAAGCUUUCCAUUGUUCCCAUCAGUAAAAACAAGGGCCGUUUUGAUCGCUACAUUUUCCAUCAACAAUAACUUUUAAAAAUCACUUUUAACAACUUGUUGAUAGGAAUAUUAGAUUAGAAUAUCAAUUCUAAAUGCUCUGGUAGUUAUUUUUUGCCAGAGUAUAUACUAUCUGGUAAGCAUCCAGUAAGGAUAUUUUUGCCUAAUUUUUUUGGUAUGCAAAGUUGACAACUUCAUCUCAAAAUUAUAGAUCAAACAUCAGACAAACAUCCAAAAUUCUCUAAGAACAAUUUUCAGUCAUCUCCUGCUUCCUUUGGACCAAGUUUUCUGGACCAGCUAAGAAGCCCCAUCUGAAUAGUUGCAAAGCCGUAAGAUUGAAAAGCUACACCGAAUCUCUUGCUGCACUGUGAAAUCAGCUCCCGCUUGCAAGUCCCUGAUUUUUCUCUGGAAAAGUUUCAGGGACGAUUCGUGCAUCCUUUGUCUGAGAUGCGCCUGUGCGGCUAAUUGCUCUUAGUCGAUGCAAAUAGAAGCAGUAGCCUCUGCAGCUUGAGGGUCCUUCUGCCAGCUACCAGUGGUCUCCCUCCUCGCCAGCUUCUCACGACAGCUUUUCCAAGACCUCAGUCAUCUCAGCAAUCCUCUUCUCACUCCUACCCUCUAGUCAGCAGACGACCUUGGCUCUCUCAUUCCAGAGGACACAGACUAUUUACAUAACUCCGCUGUUCUCUCAGUUAACUGAAAAUGCUUACCUUUACAGAGACCGCCUUAUCUCUUCUCUCCAGGGGAGGGUGAAGGGAUGCCUCUUAUUUUCCAAAUGCAUCCCUCUGCCACGUCUGUCUCCAUCUUUGUCUACACCCCUGCUUCCUUCUCAGGUAUCUUUAGGCUCUUGCUGGUCACUAUUUUAAUCCCCUCAGGAUAUAAACACGACACCAGCUCUCCUGAAAUACUGCUCUAGACUCUGAGAGGAGGAGAAACUGCCUCUUUCUGAACUCAGAAGCUACAGUGGGUCUGUAGAUAGAAGCUGCGUUGAGUUUGGUCCCAUGGCCUUGCCACUCUGGUUUCACUGUAUUGAAUUAUGUAUAAGAGCUGUGGCCAAAGGUAGCAGGUGUAAAGGCCAUCGCCAAAAGCAGCUCAGAUGUGAGAAUCAAAAUGACAGUAGUUCCGUUUGGGUUCCUCUUUGUAAGCAAUAGAAAACAAAUCCAUUUAAUUUAACCUCAAUGGGAAACUCAUUGGAUAUAUGGCUGGCUCUCAUAUCUACAGGAGCCUGCAAAGAGAGCUCCCUGGAGCAUCUGUCUGUCGGGGGGCAUGGAGAGGAACAGAGAAUGUUCUACAAGGUGAGAAACACUUCAGCUUGCUGCUUCUGCUGAUUCUUGGAAGCACUGAGCUGCAGAGGUCUCUGAACUUGUUUAUCUUAGGUCAAAUGACUUACUGGUCCAUGGGCAAGUUGGCAGGGAGAGAGAGAGAGAGAGAGAGAGAGAGAGAGAGAGAGAGAGAGAGCUCAUUGGUUCACUCAUGACCGUGUGACUCAUGUGUUCUCUCACUACCCUAGUCUGUACUAGGACACUACUCAAAUAGGAGUUGGUUGCUGGGUUGAUUAAACCCACAAAUGGCGACUAUAGAUGAUUCCCUUACUACUGCAAGUUUCUCUCAAGAGGCAUGAAAAUGAGACAGAGACAGCAGGAGGAGAAAGUACUAGAAACAGAAACCAGAAAAAAACUGUAGCAGAGAGAAUCGAAGAUGAGAUAGAUUCCAGGAACAGCAAUCAGCUAGGAGAGCUGAGUCAUGAAAACGGUGGUCACGAGGGUGUGAGGACAGAGGCGUCCACUCCGAGGGGCGCUGAGACAGGGAUGAUGUAGUGACAAGUGGGUUGGUUCAGGAGCUGGCUUGACUUUGAAGGACUGUCCAGUGUGAUCUGACUUGAGGGCUUUGACUGAUAGACACAUACUGUCCCGUGUGUGUGUGUGUGUGUGUGUGUGUGUGUGUAUGUGUGUGUGUAUGUGUGUGUGUGCAUGUGUGUGUGUGUAUGUGUGUGUAUAUGUGUGUGUAUGUGUGUGUGUGUGUUUCACUACCCAGAUGUAGUGUUCAUGUUGUUGCUAUUAUUAUUUUAAAUAAACUAUUGCGUGUCUCGGCUGCUUCAGCUCUAAGAUUAUGCUUAUGUGGAAUGUGCAGCUGAUGUAAGCACUGAACUUAGCAGACUUCCUGGGAUACUAGAUAUUACCUCUGGUGCCUGUCAUUAUUGCUAUUACCAUUUCACACUGCCACGGUUUUACAAAUCCUAGUUUAUUAUUUUAUCUUCAUGGAAAAUUCCAACUCAUCUUUUAAGAUUCAGUUCAGAUGUAACUCUUAAACCUUUCUCUUGGCACUGGGCUAAAUGAAUGUCGCGGUCUUGUUCAGCAAACAUUGACUGACUACUACCACAAACACAGUAUAUGGAGAUAUCAAGAGAAGAAUUCCGUCCUGCAAAAGUCUAAAAUACACAGUGGCAGUGACGUAAACAUCCAGUCUUUCUGUCUUCUAAUAAAUGCUCUAAAGAACUAUGACAUGGUGGCACCUGGUUUUGUAUUUUUUUCCUCUGAAAUUAUGCCUCUACUGCAACAGACAUGUAGGUAUUAUUUUAUUAUUUGCACAUCUGAUUCUCUUGUAUCUGUAUAAUACUCAGUACAUUGGUUGUGUUUGUGUGUUGGUACUUAUGUACAUGUAUGCAUUCAUAGUGUCAGAGGGCUUGGGUGUUGUUCCUGAGAAGCUGCCUACCUUUCUUCAUUGAGACAGGUUCUCUCUCUGACCUGGAACUUGUCAAGGAGACAAGGCUGGCCAGGGAACUCCAGGGUUCUCACCGACCACUGCUGCUAGGAUUACAAGCACCAACAGUGAAAAAAUUCUGUCGAUGUCAGUUUCCCACGCCGCUGUUUCUUACUGUCUACGAUGGCGUUUCGUGUUGAUUAACGGCCAAAUACAGCUUGAAGAGCGACUUUGACUAAUGGAGCCAAAUGGAAAGAACCAGCAGGGGGUGGGGAGAACACGGACAAGGGGACUGGCGACCCAAUGAUGGCAAUCUUUCAGCGCUGGAAAACCUAGUGUCUCCGUUCGUCAUCUUGCAAAUGUGGUAAAUGAACUUUGAGAAGCUGCAGGACUUGUUAGGGUCAUCGCGUGGGAGGAGAAUUGGGAGGCAGGGUUUCCUCUUCUGCUAGAAGGAUAGACUGUUUAAUAUGUGGUAAUGACAGCAGGAAAAACUCCAUUCUCUAGCACUGGGCAAGUGGAGGAGGGACUGCUGGGUGAACUGAAUCAGGCUUUGUUUACUAGCAUUCACAUGCUAUCUCCAUUUCUGUAGAGCUGGGUUCUAUUUUGAGAGUCAGUGAGAAAUCUGAGGGAAAGAGUGAAACGAUAAAAUUAUACUUUAGGAAGUUACUUAAGGCUAGUUGGAAUAGCCUUCAUGGCUAUGGUGGCUUAAAAAUAAUGCACACUUUAAAUAUAUUUAUCACUGCAUUUUAAUUAACUCGAGCUGGUUUUAGUGGCUUGAUUCUUUUUUUUUGUGGGUAACAUGUAUAGGAAAUCUAGUAUGCUUUUGCAUCUACCCUGACCUUCGCAAAUACUACUGUUUGUUUGUCUGUGAAGUGACCUAGUUUCCGUAGGUGAAAAUUUUGUCUGAGCUACUAAUUGUGAUGUUCUGUUUGGUGUCAUGAUGCCUAGCGCAGUCUCUGAGGUCAGCUUAAGAUAGAAUAAAGUCAUCUUAGUGCGUUCAGACUGAAGUGACAGAGAGCAUCAUACACAGUGGAGAUUUGUCCUCCCAGCUCUGGAGAUGGAGAAGGUCACGGUCACAACACCGGCAUGUUUGUUACCUACAGAGAAGUCCUGUGCUAGCUCAUUGAUGGCCACCUUCCUGGUGUAUCCUCCCAGGGCAGAAGGUCAAGGGAUCCUUGUCCCCAGCAGACAGCGCUAAGAUGGACAGUGUGAAGAAGGACUGCAUGGAUGGACUUGACCUUCCUUGACUUUGACACAAGCAAAGCUUAGCAUGGAUUAUUUCUUGGAAAUGCCCAAAUUAAAGGAAAAGGAAACUUGGCCAGGGACAGUGGUACACAGAGUCAGAGGCAGGUGGAUGUAGCGUGAAUUCUGUUUGGUUUUAAUAAUAAAAUCUCGGAGUCAGCUAUCAGGGGGGUGAGAGCUGAACGGUCAGAGAGGUAGGUCAGCCAGCUCUAGAGUUCUUACCUCUACCAGUGCUGAGACCAAAAGGACGAACUUGUCCUCAGCCUGCUUCCUUGAACUAUGUUCUCAGACCGACUGCCUUCUCACACUGCUUCAGACUGACUGCACUGAGCUCCCAUCUCCUUCUGCCUUAUGUUUCUCUCUCCACCCAGCCAUACCACUCCUGUCUCCACCUCCCUAGUGUUGGGAUUAAAGGCAUGGUGUCCCAAAUACUGGAAUCACUUUGUGUGACUUCUGCUUCUCUUUUAGACUAUUUUUGUGUAGCCCAAGGUGACCUUGAACUAACAGACCCAUCCGCCUCUCAAGUGCUGGGAUUAAAGGCGUGUGCCCUCACUGCCUGGCAACCAUGGCUAGCUAGUGUAGCUAGCUCUGCACUCUGAUCCUCAGGUAAGCUUUAUUUGUUAAAACAUAAAGUAUCAUCACAGGUGGAUCUUUGAGUUUGAGGCCAGCUGGAUCUACAGAGCAAGUUCCAGGACAGCCAAGGUUACAUAGAGGAACCCUGCUUCCCCCAAAUAAAACAAACAAAGAGAAGCUUAUGCUUAACCAAUCAGAGUCCGCAGAUUAACAUGUACAACUAUGGACUGUUUUUUUGUGUUUUUUUUGUUGUUGUUGUUUUAACAAAAUAGACUAAAUGUACCAUUCUGAGUCUUGUAUAUGCUAUGCAAGCACCAAGCUACACCAUUGGUUCAAGAUAAGAACCAAUAUACAAAUUUUGGAGGCACCAAAGCACCAGUUCACAGCAAAAAUCACUGGUGAAGGCUCUCACAAGACUUGCUUUAAAUUUACCGAGGGACAUGCUCUGUACUCCCACACUCUUGCAUUUACUCUUCUAGCAUAAAUGCUAUUACCUCUCAUUUUAGCUUAUAAUUAUAAUUUAUAAUUUGGGAAGUCAAUUCAGAAUGUGAGUGUGUCCAUGUCUCUGUCUGUAUGUGUGUGUGUGUCUGUUGCUGUGUGUGUGCGUGUCUGUGCUGCAUGUGUUUACUGCUUUGGAGGAAAUGUACUAUUAAACAUAAUUAACAAUUUGGAAUAAUUAUAGUUGGAGAGAAUAGGCAUGAAUACAUGAAAAGUUAGAUAAAAUACUUUGCCAAGAGGAAGCCUAUUGAAUACAUUAUGUUUUGAGGAAUUUUUCAAGUACUAGCUUUAGAUGUUGAAAUACCUGGCUCCCAUCCCUUUGUACAAUUUUGUGUAGCAGAAGUUUCAUGUCUUUUUUUUUGUCAUUGAGAAACUUACAUAGCUAACCUAGAAUGGGAAAUGGAGAAGGUAAUAAAUGCAUAUGUUAAAAAAAUUGAAAGAAAGACUAGUUAGUGAAGGAAGGGAAGCAGCAAAUAGGGUUAGGGAGCCUGGAGGAGGGCAGUCAGUUGGAAGUGAAGGAAAUGGACAAGCUGAAGCUACAGCUAAUGCCAGCCAUUUCUCACUAAGCCUCACUGAAGCAGAGAUGCAAAAUUAUAUUUUAAAGUUUUAUUUCCUAUGCAAGCCUAAGAACCCAUUCUCUGGGAAAUGUUUUCCUUGAGAUGAUGUGCUAACUGUUCAUCUUUCCACACACUUACUAUGAGGGCCUGGAGUUAGGUUAAGGAUCAGGUUCACCUACUCUGCCCACUGGGCAUCUGAAAAUAUAUUUGAAUACUCAUGAGUGGUGUAGCAACCCUUUCCCAAAGACAAUAGUGUCCAUGUCUCCAGCAGCAGAGUCUAAUCAUAAGGGUUCCCUAGUAUGCUAUGGUGUCUGGUGUUAGCAGACCAGAUAGCUUCGCUUAAUAAAUUCUAGGGUUUGAUUCUGGGAGUUGGUUAUGGCUGAAGCAUUCAUAAAUAUACUUUUCAAGCCAUUUGAGAAUGUAUGUGAAAUUCCCAGCAACCUUAGAAUAAUUUCUAUUAUCUUCUUUAAUUAACUAAGGUCAGUUUCUUUUAUAUGCACAUAAAAAAAAAUCCUGUCUAUAAAGUAGUGCCAAGUGAGGUUGAAAGUAAUAAACUUGCAGAAAACUAGGGGGAAAUUAGAGUUUAUUAUGUCUUGUUAUGAGCUAAAUAGAAGUGGAAAAUCAAGUUGUUGUAUUUGCAUAAGUGAAUGUUGGACUCUAGUGUCCAAACCGAGAAGGAGUCGCCCCCAGAGACCACCUCAUAUACCACAGCCGAUGCAA